UCUUAUCGUUCUUACAAUUCGCUGCUUUGCUGUUUUCUACCUUGCAUCUUCUUUCUUUUCCACAAAAGGAUUCUUUUAUUCCAUCACCGGAACAGGUAUGAACAGCAAAAUGGAAGCACUGUGAGUCUUGUGAAGAAUUGACGGUCCUGGGAAGCACUGUGAGUCUUGUGAAGGCCUUGGCCACCAGCAGUCCAGCCUUAGGUGUGCUCUUGAGGAAGCAAUGUAUCUUCAGAGAACCUUUGUAAUUCCUCUAGAAUGUACAUCAAUCCAAUACACAACAAGAAAGGGAUUCUUCACCAGUCAAUUGAUGCCAGUUCAGAACAAAGGUAUUAAUUAUGGUAAUCAUUCAAGUUCAUGAAGCGCAAGGAUCAGAAUAACCGUAGUGCUAUUCUUUUUGUCAUAUUAUUUUCUUCCUUUAGUGGCUGGCAAGAAGUCGAAGAUUGCAGCAGAAAAGAGCCAUUCUUUUCUGCUGGCUGUUUGUGUAUGCCCCAAACCAUUUUUGUCAGAGGUGCUGAUCAUUGGUUGGUGUUGCAUUUACGGUUGGAGAGUCAAGAGUGUGUACCAAAAAAGUUUUGGGUGUACCUUUGGGUUCUACAUAUAUUUAGAAGUUUCAUACACAUGUUUGGUUCAUCUGUCACUCAAAAUGGCUUGGCCUAAUUGUGGUCAAAUGUCAUCCAUAUGUGGGCACCUGUUUGAAUACCUUCUUUGUGGGAGUCAAAAGCUCUAAUAUGACAUCAUUGAUGCUUUCGAAUGGCUAGUGUUCUAUUGCAGUCAGUUAUAACAUUGCUUUGCUUUAAAUUUUUCUGUUUUUAAGUGAUUAAGGUGCUUCUUGGUGAUUGUGAUGCUAUCCAUAUCAGAUGAGGUGAUAAAUUGAAAACUCAUAAGGAUAGGUUCGGCAUUGAUCAGUCUUGGUAUCCUUAUCUUGAUGGGGAUACCCGUCAAGAAUUUAUUUCCUGCAGAAUUGCAAAAUGGGUCCCACCAGAGCAAACUUUUUUAUUGCUUCAAAUGGGAGGACCCCAGGUUUCUUUGCUCCUCUUGCUUCAAGGUAUAUUACCUUCCACUCUGAUCCUUCUGAACUUUAUAUGAUUGUCAUCUCGGGAGUAACAGUAGAUCAAAAUUUUGUAUAUCCUUUGCAACCCCCCUCCCUCUUUCUCUUUUCAAAAAAGAAAAAGAAAAGGAAAAAGGCCUUUUACUUAUCAAAUAUUUGGAGAAAUUGUUUUGCCUUGGUAGGUGUAUGAGUUCUAAUACCGUUUCUUGUGUCAAUAUUCUUUCUGCCCAGGAGUUACUUUUAGGUGGAAAAUUUUUCCUCGAGUUAUAGUUUGGUUGUGCUAAGCUACUCGGGAAAAGUAGCAUUACCCUUUUGUGUCUUUUCUCAUAGUUAUCUAAUGUACAAAUACUCUUCUGAUUGUAUUGUAAGUGAUGUAGUAAUGUUACUAUUAUAUACAAAAUGAUGUAAAAGCAACUCCAAUGUAGUUAAAAUUUACUGAAAUUAGCGUGUCCGAUUGCUUUGAAGUGGUUUGCCAUACUCUUCCCUAUUCUCCUAAUUCUAUGUUUGAAUUAGCAGCUACAAAUUGCAUGCUUUUUCCAAUAUUUUUACUGUCUCACAUUGUGAAGCUAUUCACAAACACAUUGUAUACUGUUGUAUGUAGUGAUAAGAUGCAUGUGUGGUCAAAGAUUAGUGUAGAGUGAGAAAGAUGUGGAUGAUAAAAGCAGUAGUUGGGAUGCAUACUAAUCUGCUAGUGCUUUUAAAUUUUCAAUGGAAGCUAGAUGGAAGAAGUCCUAAUGAUUGCUUCUAAUGUUGCUUAAACUUUUCUUUUGGGGUGUAUGUGUGUGUGUGUAUGUGAAUGAAGGAAAGAAAGGUAGAGCAGCUUGGAGAAAGAGAAUCAGCAAAGGAUGAGAGGCAUGCUGAGGAUUUCUUUUGGCAUGUGUGUUGUUUAAAUUAGCUGUAGUUACAUAAGAACUUUCUGGUUGUCGAGCUUCUUAGUUGGUUGAGGAUCCUAAUGUUAUUUCACUUUCCUAAUUGGUUUAACAUUUCCUGAUCAGGACAUCACAUGGGUUAGAAGACUAGAAAAUUGUCCUUUCUUCUUUGUAUUUGUAUGUGUGGUUUACAAUUAAUGGAAUG
Coffea eugenioides is the source of this 2122-nucleotide long non-coding RNA. RefSeq lists it as uncharacterized. The transcript is spliced from 4 exons. The record is from RefSeq and is a predicted model, not a curated record. NCBI's taxonomy places the organism in Eukaryota, Viridiplantae, Streptophyta, Magnoliopsida, Gentianales, Rubiaceae.